UACAGAGGUCUCAAGCGUUGUUCGGAUUCAUUGGGCGUAAAGCGCACGUAGGCGGGCUCUUAAGUCGGUGGUGAAAUCCUGGAGCUCAACUCCAGAACUGCCUUCGAUACUGAGAGUCUUCGAGUCCGGGAGAGGUGAGUGGAACUGCGAGUGUGGAGGUGAAAUUCGUAGAUAUUCGCAAGAACACCAGUGGCGAAGGCGGCUCACUGGCCCGGUACUGACGCUGAGGUGCGAAAGCGUGGGGAGCAAACAGG
RNAcentral lists this ribosomal RNA (254 nucleotides) under uncultured bacterium. Its description in RNAcentral is "partial 16S ribosomal RNA". It matches the Rfam family "Bacterial small subunit ribosomal RNA", at positions 524 to 776 of the family's 1533-position model. The record is from RNAcentral.